CAAACAGAGAGCAAAAAGACAGCAGAUGAGCAGUGGCAGGGGGAGAAGAGUUCCGAGUUCCUCCCCUACCGGCCGCCCUCUUAUCAUUCCUCCCCCGGCGAGAGGGAAUCUUGGGAAUCUCCUCCAGCAACCCACCUCACGUCGACUCUUUGAAUCCACCGCGGUCCUGCCGCUUCUAUAGAACUAGUUUUUUCACUUUCGUGCGCUACAAAAAUCUUCUCUUUUUUUAUACAGAAAAUAAGUGGCGACGAUGGUGACAGGCUUGUGUUGGGGGUUCAUGCGCACUUCCGCAGCUACUUAGGUAUCAGGUCGCGAGGGUCGAGCGCCAGCGCUCCAUUCCCCCCGGAUUGGAUUCUGGUUUCUUCGUCCAAGAAUUACCCGAGGAAUCGAAAUUCUUUGUGUUUUGGUUCAGAAAGAUUUGAUCUUGGGAGGAGAAAGGUCAGGCAUGGAUGAGAAUGGGACACCAGAUUACAGCGACGGGGGCUCGGACAUGGACCUGCUCAUGCUCUCAGGGUUUGAUGACCUUGACAGUUUCCCAGAGCUCGGCGCCGGUCCUUCAUUUAGUGACGGUAUCUUGUCGUCUUUCAGUGUUUCACCUGCGCAGCAGGUGACACAUAUCUCACCUUCACAACCUUCUGUGGAUGCUGAGGAGCAAGGUGAUGUUUCCAUUACUGAUGGUAGUGAUUGCUCUGUCAGUUUAGCCUCUAAAGAGGUCAUGAAUGUGAGCGCUUCCACUGUCCCAAAGACAGUUUAUGGCGGCGUCACCCUGACGGAGAGGAUGCUCAGGGCAUUGGCCAUGCUUAAAGAAGCAUCAACUGCUGGGCCAGUCCUUGUGCAAGUUUGGAUCCCUGUAAGAAAUGGAGAUCAUCAAGUGCUGACCACCUCUGACCAGCCUUUCUUGCUUGAUGAGAGGCUCACAGGGUACAGGGAAGUCUCUAGGCAGUUUACAUUCUCAGCCACAGAAGGACCUGGUCUGUUUCCUGGAUUGCCUGGGCGUGUUUUCAUAUCCGGUAUGCCAGAGUGGACAUCAAACGUGAUGUACUACAACACUUCAGAGUUCUUGAGGGUAGACUAUGCAAUUCGCAAUGAAGUCCGGGGAUCCCUUGCCAUGCCGGUUUUCAACUCAAGUGGCGGCUCUUGCUGUGCUGUGUUGGAAGUAGUCAUGACACAGGAAAAGGAUAACUUUUGCUCAGAGAUGGACAACCUUUCUAAUGCUCUGCAGUCUGUUCAGCUGAGCACUGUGCGAGCAAGGACACAUCCUCAGAGCCUUACUAGGAAUCAGCAAUCAGUAUUGACGGAAAUAUUGGAUGUUCUCCAAGGUGUUUGCCAUACACACAUGCUACCUUUGGCACUUGCAUGGAUUCCAGUUUGCCCCAACAGCAGUUUGAAUGUGUCAGCAGAGUAUGGUGACCAGGCUAUAAAGUUUGGUCUGAGGAAGAAAGAUGUCCUUUGCGUACAAGAAUCUGCCUGUUACAUCAAUGACAUGAGAAUGCAUGAUUUUCUCCGUGCCUGUGCAGAACACCCCCUUGAGAAAGGACAAGGUGUUGCUGGAAAUGCAAUUUUAUCAAAUCAUCCCUUCUUCUCAUCUGAUGUGAGAGAAUAUGAUAUGCAUGAUUAUCCGCUGGCACAUCAUGCCCGUAAGUUUGGUCUUCAUGCUGCUGUUGCUAUCAGGUUGCGUAGCACAUACACUGGCGAUGAUGAUUAUGUGUUAGAGUUUUUCCUUCCACUGACGUGCAAAGUUCGUGAAGAACAACAGCUCUUACUUGACGACAUCUCAAUAACCAUGCAAAGAGUAUGCAGUAGUCUGAGAACAGUUUCAGAUGCUGAACUGAAGGAAAACACCACAACAAUGCGAUCAGAAAUAAGAUGCUCAUCGUCUGAUGUUUCUAUUAGUUCAUGUAACCAAAUCGAUGUAUCCAGUGAAGUCAAAAUAAAUGUGCUUUUAGAAAAUCAGAUAAGAAACAGUGUUGAGCAACUGGCGGAUAAAAAAUAUGCUAAGUUUGAACCUGGCACUACAUCUCAAAAUUUUGAAAACUGCAGCUCAACAGGGAAGAAUGUUAGCUUGACUGUCCUUCAGGAAUCUACAUCUGAUGGGCUGAAAAUACGCAGCUCAACGGAGAAGCAUGUUAGCUUGAAAGUCCUUCAGCAAUACUUUGCUGGCAGUUUAAAAGAUGCUGCAAAGAGCAUUGGUGUUUGUCCUACAACACUGAAAAGGAUAUGCCGGCAGCAUGGAAUAUCAAGGUGGCCAUCUCGUAAGAUAAAGAAGGUAAAUCGGUCACUAGAGAAGAUUCAGAAUGUGAUAAGUACUGUACACGGAGUGGAUGGAGUGAUAAAAUAUGAUCCUGCCACUGGAUGUAUUGUUUCAUCUGUUUCCCAUACCGAAGAGCCUCCGAUAAUGAAUGUUGAACAUCGAAGUUCUGAUUCCCUGCCCACUGAAUGCCGUAAGUUCCAACCUGAUUAUGAUGCAUACCAAAGAGAACAUCUAGGCCAAGCUGUACCCCACAAAGCACAGAAUGAGAAAAGGAGCGAAACCCAUAUUAACCUGAAUCCUGGAGGGUUAUCUCGAAAUUCACAUUUUGGUAGAACAUCAAAAGGGUCAGAGUGUCAGGAUGCGUCAAACGGUUCAUAUCUUACAAAAGAAAUGAUCUGUCCUGGCGGUAUGGAGAUGUGGGUUGAGGGAGCUGAGCAAAAGAAUGUAUUGUGGAAUUCUGUUUCUAUGCCACAGCAAUGCAAAAUUGAGAUAGAAACAGACAAGUCUAAUGCGAUUGUUGAGCAAAGCCUGGCAUCUUCUUCCAGCAUGACAGAUUGCUCCAGUGGCGGUACAUCGAGUGAUGGGACUUUGAAGAAAUGCUUGAAGAGUCGACCAGUUGAUGGAAGCAAUGCGAGCAUAGUUGUGAAGGCCGCUUACAAGGAUGACACUGUAAGGUUGAAAUUACUACCAUCCAUGAAAUACCAGGAUCUGCUUGAAGAAAUCGCAAAGAGGCUGAAGCUAUCAGUUGGCGCAUUUCAGCUCAAGUACAAGGAUGAUGAGGAUGAAUGGGUGAUUUUAGCGAGCGACGCUGAUCUCCAGGAAUGCCUUGAUGUACUAGACACCACCGGGGCACGCAUCAUGAAAGUUCAAGUACGAGAUGUUCCAUGUGCCACCGGAGCUUCUUCGGGUAGUAGCUUUAUAUCUGGUCGAUAGGUCAGGGUGAUGCCGCAUGGUGCAAAGCACAGGUGUUUUACUCAUGACACAUCAUGGCUUUAGCGUGGCGCCGAUCUGAUCUAAACUGUUGCCAAGGGGUUCAACAAUGUUUCUACUCAAGCUGUUGGCUAUCUGGAACUAUAUAGCUGUUGAGCACACCGCUUACCUGAGUGGGCUACUCUGGGUCUCAGAUAGGUUUUGCCUGUGGUAGUUUUAUUUCACAUUUGUACAUAUUUUUGCGGAUGUACCACUAGUAUACCAGUGAAUUGUGGCAGUACACAUGCACACUUCAAAAAGGGGGAAAGGAUCCUGAGUGUACAAGCACUUAUUAUUUCUGAAGUUAUCAAGCCAUCAUGCUUUUAAGUGUACGAGUAUGUGGCAGUUUCAUGUUAGUGUUGCUGAUCUG
RNAcentral lists this ribosomal RNA (3590 nucleotides) under Triticum aestivum (bread wheat). Its description in RNAcentral is "partial small subunit ribosomal RNA". Lineage: Eukaryota; Viridiplantae; Streptophyta; Magnoliopsida; Poales; Poaceae. The record is from RNAcentral.